RNAcentral lists this ribosomal RNA (253 nucleotides) under uncultured bacterium. RNAcentral's name for it is "partial 16S ribosomal RNA". It matches the Rfam family "Bacterial small subunit ribosomal RNA", at positions 524 to 776 of the family's 1533-position model. The record is from RNAcentral.
UACAGAGGUCCCAAGCGUUGUUCGGAUUCAUUGGGCGUAAAGGGUGCGUAGGUGGCGGGGUAAGUCAGGUGUGAAAUUUCGGAGCUUAACUCCGAAACUGCAUUUGAUACUGCCUUGCUUGAGGACUGGAGAGGAGACUGGAAUUCACGGUGUAGCAGUGAAAUGCGUAGAUAUCGUGAGGAAGACCAGUGGCGAAGGCGGGUCUCUGGACAGUUCCUGACACUGAGGCACGAAGGCCAGGGGAGCAAACGGG